AUUCGAACGGCGUAGCGGGAUGCUUUACACAUGCAAGUCGAACGGCGAGCGCAAGAAAAGCUUGCUUUUCUUGGCGGCGAGUGGCGAACGGGUGAGUAAUAUAUCGGAACGUGCCCAGUAGCGGGGGAUAACUACGCGAAAGCGUGGCUAAUACCGCAUACGCCCUACGGGGAAAGGGGGGAGUCGCAAGACCUCUCACUAUUGGAGCGGCCGAUAUCGGAUUAGCUAGUUGGUGGGGUAAAGGCUCACCAAGGCAGCGAUCCGUAGUUGGUUUGAGAGGACGACCAGCCACACUGGGACUGAGACACGGCCCAG
Molecule: ribosomal RNA, 315 nt
Filed under: uncultured bacterium
Lineage: Bacteria
Description: bacterial SSU rRNA
Rfam family: Bacterial small subunit ribosomal RNA
Source: RNAcentral